Molecule: ribosomal RNA, 440 nt
Filed under: uncultured Massilia sp.
Lineage: Bacteria; Pseudomonadati; Pseudomonadota; Betaproteobacteria; Burkholderiales; Oxalobacteraceae
Description: bacterial SSU rRNA
Rfam family: Bacterial small subunit ribosomal RNA
Source: RNAcentral
GGAAUUUUGGACAAUGGGCGAAAGCCUGAUCCAGCAAUGCCGCGUGAGUGAAGAAGGCCUUCGGGUUGUAAAGCUCUUUUGUCAGGGAAGAAACGGUGAAGGCUAAUAUCCUUCGCUAAUGACGGUACCUGAAGAAUAAGCACCGGCUAACUACGUGCCAGCAGCCGCGGUAAUACGUAGGGUGCAAGCGUUAAUCGGAAUUACUGGGCGUAAAGCGUGCGCAGGCGGUUUUGUAAGUCUGACGUGAAAUCCCCGGGCUCAACCUGGGAAUUGCGUUGGAGACUGCAAGGCUAGAAUCUGGCAGAGGGGGGUAGAAUUCCACGUGUAGCAGUGAAAUGCGUAGAGAUGUGGAGGAACACCGAUGGCGAAGGCAGCCCCCUGGGUCAAGAUUGACGCUCAUGCACGAAAGCGUGGGGAGCAAACAGGAUUAGAUACCCUGG